GCCCUGACUGGCUGGUAUCUCAGGCCUGGAAGAGCCAGGCUCAGGGGGACUUGGGGCCAGAGUGGGUGAGGACAGGUGCGUGAUGCCACCAACUCUGGCCAGAACAGGCUUUGGGUGGGUGGGCACGGAAGGGUCCCAGAACCAGGCCUGGUCCCCCGCCCCGGCCAUUCCUCAGGGUCCCGCCCAGGCCUUGGCCUCUGGACGGGUCAGUCCCAACCCAAGUCCAGGCUCCUCCCUUCACCCGCCAUUGCCGCUCUGCCGUGGCCUUGGCCUUGGCCUAUGCAAACCACUGUUCACAAAUGUGUAAGAUUUUCCAAGCCAGUUCGUUACAGGAGACGAAUUUCAGGACAUGAACAUGAGUCUUUUUGCACCAUUUAUUUUUUGAACUCACCCUCUUCGUGGAAAAAUAGCUGCAAGUGUGAAAAUGAGUCGGCCCUGAGUCUUAUGAGACCUGCAAGGUGCAGGCGGGUACGCUGGAGAAGCUGGUGGGGCACCUGGUGCCCGCCUUCCAGGGCAGCGACCUCUCCUACGUCACCGUCUUCCUGUGCACCUACCGGGCCUUCGCCACCACCCAGAAAGUCCUGGACCUGCUGUUCGAAAGCAGGUACGGUGGGUGUGACGCACUCACGGCCUCCUCUAGAUACGGCUGCAUCCUGCCUUAUGCCCACGAGGACGGCGGGCCCCAGGACCAGCUGAAAAAUGCCAUCUCCUCCAUCCUGGGCACCUGGCUGGACCAGUACUCGGAGGACUUCGUCAGCCCUGCGACUUUCCCUGCCUCAAGCAGCUGGUGGCCUAUGUGCAGCUCAACGUGCCCGGCUCCGACCUGGAGCGCUGUGCCCACCUUCUCCUGGCCCAGCUGGAGCAUGCGGAGCUCACCCAGGCAGAGCCGGAGGCUUCACUGCAUCUCAGGAUCUAGCGAAGGCGACGGCACCAGCUCCUGGACCAUCUGAAGUUCUGGAUCCAGCGGAAGAAGCAGCAACAGAACCAAAGCCACAUCCUGCGCUGGAGGAACAUGUGCAUUCGUAGCCAGAGCGACACGGCGGGUCGGCAGCUCCAGAGCAAAGCAAACGCCACGGUCAGUUCCGUCAGCACCUCCACCCGGACCUGCAGCUACACCUGCUCCUGCAGGAGACCCCGAGCAGGUCAGGUCCCGCCAGAACGGUCCUUCCCUCCCCUGUUAUUGUCUGGGGU
Molecule: long non-coding RNA, 1191 nt
Organism: Phacochoerus africanus (Common warthog)
Lineage: Eukaryota; Metazoa; Chordata; Mammalia; Artiodactyla; Suidae
Exons: 4
Source: RefSeq, a predicted model, not a curated record